GGAGGGGCUGUGGCUCAGGGGCAGAACUUCUGCUUGGCACGCAGAAGUGCCCAUGUUCAAUCCCUAGCCUCUCCA
This 75-nucleotide transfer RNA is filed under the name Sphaerodactylus townsendi. Its description in RNAcentral is "tRNA-Ala". The record is from RNAcentral. Lineage: Eukaryota; Metazoa; Chordata; Lepidosauria; Squamata; Sphaerodactylidae.